CAGCAGCCGCGGUAAUACGUAGGGUGCGAGCGUUAAUCGGAAUUACUGGGCGUAAAGGGUGUGCAGGCGGCUGAGUAAGACAGGACUGA
RNAcentral lists this ribosomal RNA (89 nucleotides) under Vibrio parahaemolyticus. RNAcentral describes it as "partial 16S ribosomal RNA". It matches the Rfam family "Bacterial small subunit ribosomal RNA", at positions 509 to 597 of the family's 1533-position model. Lineage: Bacteria; Pseudomonadati; Pseudomonadota; Gammaproteobacteria; Vibrionales; Vibrionaceae. The record is from RNAcentral.